GUCUUUCUCAUAAUUACAUUAAUUGUGUGACGAGACAUCAGUGGCUGUGACUGAAUGCAGUGUGAAUCCUUCCUCAUCAGUGAAACAGAAAGAAUUGUGUGACGAGACAUCAGUGGCUGUGACUGAAUGCAGUGUGAAUCCUUCCUCAUCAGUGAAACAGAAAGAAAAAGACAAAUGAAUCAGGAUGAAACUGAGAACUCCAGAGAGACCAAAUCAAGGAGAAUAGCGAAAAGGCCAUGGAGCCCAAAUGAAGAUAAUGCUUUUGUGAAACAUUUCCAUAUUUCAAAGGGACACCUAGCAACAAAGGCAGAGUGUGAGCUGUGCAAGACUGCAGAGGACCCUGUCCUGAGAGAAAGAAUGGCCCAAAAUAUAAGGCAUUUCGUGAGGAACCGAGGUUUGAUGUUGAAAAAGAAAUCUUCUUAGAGUUCUUAGAGAGAUCAGUAUCGCUGAUACCACCUUUAAUGUCUGCCUGUUCAAGACAUCCUUUUAUAUACUUUUAUUAAACACUGUUUUGAAAGAAAUGUACAAAUACAUGCAUUUACUGGAAGGCAUUAUGUGCUUAUUAGAUCUCAGUUGUUGAGCCUUUUUUACCAUUUGCAAAAUAAAAAAAAAAUGCCCUUUCAGUUUAA
This is a long non-coding RNA of Pimephales promelas (fathead minnow), 629 nucleotides long. RefSeq lists it as uncharacterized. NCBI's taxonomy places the organism in Eukaryota, Metazoa, Chordata, Actinopteri, Cypriniformes, Leuciscidae. The record is from RefSeq and is a predicted model, not a curated record.